RNAcentral lists this ribosomal RNA (331 nucleotides) under uncultured Lachnospiraceae bacterium. RNAcentral's name for it is "partial 16S ribosomal RNA". Lineage: Bacteria; Bacillati; Bacillota; Clostridia; Lachnospirales; Lachnospiraceae. The record is from RNAcentral.
GGAGUUUGGGCCGUGUCUCAGUCCCAAUGUGGCCGAUUGCCCUCUCAGGCCGGCUAUUGAUCGUUGACUUGGUGAGCCGUUACCUCACCAACUAUCUAAUCAAACGCGGGUCCAUCGUAUGCCGAUAAAUCUUUUCACACUGUAUCAUGCAAUACCGUGCGCUUAUGCGGUAUUAGCAGUCGUUUCCAACUGUUGUCCCCCUGCAUACGGCAGGUUACCCACGCGUUACUCACCCGUCCGCCACUAAGUAUUAACAAGCUUCGACCGAAAUCUCUGCAGCGUUAAUACUCCGUUCGACUUGCAUGUGUUAAGCACGCCGCCAGCGUUCAUC